GGGCUUACACAAGCGGUGGAGCAUGUGGUUUAAUUCGAAACAACGCGCAGAACCUUACCAAUCCUUGCAAUAUACAGGAAGCAACUGUUAUAAGUUGUCUUUUGGUAUACAGGCGCUGCAUGGCUGUCGUCAGUUCGUGGCGUGAGCUGUUGGGUUAAGUCCUAGAACGAACGCAACCCUCUUAGCAUGUGCAUUUUUAAUGCCUUGUUAAACUGCCAGUGACAUACGGGGAGGAAGGAGAGGAUGACGUCAAGUCCGCAUGGCCCUUAUGGGUUGGGCUACACACGUGCUACAAUGGCGAACACAAAGGGAUGCAAGAUGGCAACAUGGAGCAAAUCCUCAACUUUCGUCGUAGUUCGGAUUGUUCUCUGCAACUCGAGAACAUGAAGUUGGAAUC
Molecule: ribosomal RNA, 397 nt
Filed under: uncultured bacterium
Lineage: Bacteria
Description: bacterial SSU rRNA
Rfam family: Bacterial small subunit ribosomal RNA
Source: RNAcentral